AUUGAACGCUGGCGGCAUGCUUUACACAUGCAAGUCGAACGGCAGCGCGGGCUUCGGCCUGGCGGCGAGUGGCGAACGGGUGAGUAAUGCAUCGGAACGUGCCCAGUAGUGGGGGAUAGCCCGGCGAAAGCCGGAUUAAUACCGCAUACGACCUGAGGGUGAAAGCGGGGGACCGAAAGGCCUCGCGCUAUUGGAGCGGCCGAUGUCGGAUUAGCUAGUUGGUGGGGUAAAGGCUUACCAAGGCGACGAUCCGUAGCUGGUCUGAGAGGACGACCAGCCACACUGGGACUGAGACACGGCCCAGACUCCUACGGGAGGCAGCAGUGGGGAAUUUUGGACAAUGGGGGCAACCCUGAUCCAGCCAUGCCGCGUGCGGGAAGAAGGCCCUCGGGUUGUAAACCGCUUUUGUUCGGGAAGAAAUCCUCUGGGCUAACACCCCGGGGGGAUGACGGUACCGGAAGAAUAAGCACCGGCUAACUACGUG
This 484-nucleotide ribosomal RNA is filed under the name uncultured bacterium. RNAcentral describes it as "partial 16S ribosomal RNA". It matches the Rfam family "Bacterial small subunit ribosomal RNA", at positions 28 to 507 of the family's 1533-position model. The record is from RNAcentral.